AAGAUGGCGACCGGCGCACGGGUGAGUAACACGUAUCCAACCUGCCGAUAACUCCGGAAUAGCCUUUCGAAAGAAAGAUUAAUACCGGAUGGCAUACGAAUAUCGCAUGAUAUUUUUAUUAAAGAAUUUCGGUUAUCGAUGGGGAUGCGUUCCAUUAGUUUGUUGGCGGGGUAACGGCCCACCAAGACUACGAUGGAUAGGGGUUCUGAGAGGAAGGUCCCCCACACUGGAACUGAGACACGGUCCAA
This 248-nucleotide ribosomal RNA is filed under the name uncultured bacterium. RNAcentral's name for it is "partial 16S ribosomal RNA". It matches the Rfam family "Bacterial small subunit ribosomal RNA", at positions 85 to 334 of the family's 1533-position model. The record is from RNAcentral.